This 1298-nucleotide long non-coding RNA is filed under the name Marmota monax (woodchuck). Lineage: Eukaryota; Metazoa; Chordata; Mammalia; Rodentia; Sciuridae. The record is from RNAcentral.
GAUUCUAAGAACUGCAAAUUAUGGACAGUCACAUAUUAAAUAUAGAAUGGUUACACAGAAAAUUAAAAAAGCUAAAUGUAUAAAAGUUCAAUGCUUAAAGAAAUAUUAUUACAAAAAGAAAUAUAAAACUGGAAAUUAUUGGGAAUAAAGAGACCUUUAUUUUUUUUUUCACUAUAUUCUUAUAUUUAUUUUUUCACAUUUAGAAGUCCAUCCAAAGUAAUCAUCCUGGAUAUGGAAAAUUCUAUGUGACAAAGAAGACAGUAAACACCUUGGAAUCAAUCAUUAUUACUUAUCUGUCAUUGUACAUGCAGCACUUAGCACAGUGUUUAGCAUAAAUUAUUUCUAGAUCAAGCAAUAAGUAAAAUCCACCAACAAGUAUUUAAGACAUAACUUAUGAAAACCUAAAUGUACAUAGCAUUAGGUAAAUUGUUAAAUUUCACCUUUACAUACUUAAUGUAUUUUAUAUGGUCAAUAAGAUAUUAAAGAUUUGUAAUAUCAGGAAAACCUAAAUAUGACUAACAUUGGGCUACAGUCAUAAGGUUCUAUAAAGAGACCUUUAAAAAAGAAAAAAGAAAGAAAAGACAAAGACAAAUGCACUUAUUACCACUAAAAUUGUUCAUUUUGAAUCGGUUAAAUUCACAUUAUGUAAAUGUCACCCAUAUUUUUAAAAAUACAACUCCAAUAAAUGAAAAAUAUAAUCGUUCAAAUUAAAUGUCAAUGGAUAUGUUGAAAAUGUUUAGACACAGUUAAAGAGAGAAUCAGUAAAUGGAAAGAUAGGUAUGAAGAAUUUAUGCUUGAGAAAAAAAGGAGAUGGGAAAUAUGAGAGGUUAAAAGAACAUAAAAAGAUAUGGUCUAAUAGAUAUUGCUAUGGUUUGGGUUUUAUUUGUCUCCACCAAAAUUCAUGUUGAAAUUUGAUUUCCAAAAUUGAUGUUGAAAGAGUGGGAACUCUUAAGAAAUGAUUAAGUCAUUAAGAAGGAUUAAUGCUUUGCUUGAGGAAAUGAGUUCUUGCUCUUGUGGGACUGGAUUAGCUGUUAUGAGAGUGGGUUGUUAAAAAGUGAGGCUGCCCUUGUGUUUCCCUUCCGUAGUCACCUGCUUGCUCUUCUACUUUAUGCCAUAAAUUAGAGCAGUGCAAGGCCUUUUCACAAACUGUGCUCUUGAACUUCCCCGGGCUCCAGAACUGUAGUCCAAAAUAAACUAUAAACUUCUUUCCUUAUAAAGUACUUAUUCUCAGGUAUUUUGUUAUAGCAACAAAAAACAGACUAACUUAUAUGUCUAAAGUCCAGAAGAAAAGAGUGAGG